UAAUACGGAGGGGGCGAGCGUUGUUCGGAUUUAUUGGGUGUAGAGGGUGUGUAGGCGGUCUUGCAAGUCAGGUGUGAAAUCCCUUGGCUUAACCAGGGAAGUGCACUUGAAACUGCAUGACUUGAGUAUAAGAGAGGAGAGUGGAAUUCCCGGUGUAGAGGUGAAAUUCGUAGAUAUCGGGAGGAACACCAGUGGCGAAGGCGACUCUCUGGCUUAAUACUGUCGCUGAAACACGAAAGCUAGGGGAGCGAACGGGAUUAGAUACCCCGGUAGUCCUAGCCGUAAACGAUGGGCACUAGGUGUAGGGGGUUUAAACUUUCUGUGCC
This 326-nucleotide ribosomal RNA is filed under the name uncultured bacterium. RNAcentral's name for it is "bacterial SSU rRNA". It matches the Rfam family "Bacterial small subunit ribosomal RNA", at positions 521 to 847 of the family's 1533-position model. The record is from RNAcentral.